RNAcentral lists this ribosomal RNA (465 nucleotides) under uncultured organism. Its description in RNAcentral is "bacterial SSU rRNA". It matches the Rfam family "Bacterial small subunit ribosomal RNA", at positions 28 to 507 of the family's 1533-position model. The record is from RNAcentral.
GACGAACGCUGGCGGCGUGCCUAACACAUGCAAGUCGAACGGGCCAUUUGGAUUCGUCUGAAUGGUUAGUGGCGGACGGGUGAGUAACGCGUGAGCAAUCUGCCCUUCAGUGGGGGACAACAGCUGGAAACGGCUGCUAAUACCGCAUGAUGUAUCUGGGAGACAUCUCCUGGGUACCAAAGAUUUAUUGCUGAAGGAUGAGCUCGCGUCUGAUUAGAUAGUUGGCGGGGUAACGGCCCACCAAGUCGACGAUCAGUAGCCGGACUGAGAGGUUGAACGGCCACAUUGGGACUGAGAUACGGCCCAGACUCCUACGGGAGGCAGCAGUGGGGAAUAUUGGGCAAUGGGCGAAAGCCUGACCCAGCAACGCCGCGUGAAGGAAGAAGGCCUUCGGGUUGUAAACUUCUUUGACGAGGGACGAAAGCAAUGACGGUACCUCGAAAACAAGCUACGGCUAACUACGUG